RNAcentral lists this small RNA (122 nucleotides) under Salmonella enterica subsp. enterica serovar Kentucky. RNAcentral describes it as "partial RtT sRNA". It matches the Rfam family "RtT RNA". Rfam says of the family: This family represents a bacterial cis-regulatory element known as RtT RNA. The exact function of RtT is unknown although it is thought that it may be involved in changing the cellular response in relation to amino acid starvation. Lineage: Bacteria; Pseudomonadati; Pseudomonadota; Gammaproteobacteria; Enterobacterales; Enterobacteriaceae. The record is from RNAcentral.
UUGCUAUCUGCGAUAUGGAAGAUUCGAACCUGCCGCAGGUUCGGGUCGAACGCAGUGAGACAACGGAGCCGUUUACGGCGACGGCCCGAAGGGCGAGGCGAAGCCGAGUCAUCCUGCACGAC